RNAcentral lists this ribosomal RNA (497 nucleotides) under uncultured bacterium. RNAcentral describes it as "partial 16S ribosomal RNA". It matches the Rfam family "Bacterial small subunit ribosomal RNA", at positions 28 to 507 of the family's 1533-position model. The record is from RNAcentral.
GAUGAACGCUGGCGGCGUGCCUAAUACAUGCAAGUCGAGCGAACGGACGAGAAGCUUGCUUCUCUGAUGUUAGCGGCGGACGGGUGAGUAACACGUGGAUAACCUACCUAUAAGACUUGGAUAACUUCGGGAAACCGGAGCUAAUACCGGAACAUAUUUUGAACCGCAUGGUUCAAAAGUGAAAGACGGUCUUGCUGUCACUUAUAGAUGGAUCCGCGCUGCAUUAGCUAGUUGGUAAGGUAACGGCUUACCAAGGCAACGAUGCAUAGCCGACCUGAGAGAGUGAUCGGCCACACGAGAGCGGAGACACGGUCCAUAGGCCUACGGGAGGCAGCAGUAGGGAAUCUGCCGCAAUGGGCGAAAGCCCGACGGAGCAACGCCGCGUGAGUGACGGAGGUCUUCGGUGCGUGAUACUCUGUUAUUAGGGAAGAACAUAUGUGUAAGUAACUGUACACAUCUUGACGGUACCUAAACAGAAAGCCACGGCUAACUACGUG